UCUCCGACAGAUGUGAAAGACUUUCGCGAACUAAGUGACGCCAUAGCUAAUUUGGGUGCAUCUUUAGGAUCGUCUUUAAGUGCAACAUUAAGCCAGUCAUGGGCCAAUAUUCGUGAACAAAAACAGUGAUUUUAAUUAUUGUUUUUAUGUGUGAAAUACUGAAUAUAGAGACAGUUGUGUUGAUAAUAUUAUUGAUGUAGCAGUUUAUAUACAUUGCUGGGAACAGUUGUGUUGAAAAUCAUAUUUUGAUGUAGUAGUUUAUAUUUACAUUGCUGGGGACAGCAAUGUCAAAGGGGGGAGAUAUGUAAGAGGGUGGAAUUUGAAUGAUUAUUUUAUUUUGAUAUUUAUUGAACGUUUAUAUAAAAAGAAAAGUGUCUGUGGUUUUGGGGGAUUGAACCGGGUGCCUUUGGUGUGUGGGCUUGUGACUUAUACCACUAGGCUAAGUCAGAUUUAUAUUUAUAGCAUAUCUUUAUUAUCGAAAGUACAUUUAGGUUUUUGGUUAAUUAUUUUGUGAUGUCAUAGAAAGAAUAGCAUUCUGGGUAAUUCUUGCCUAGCUCAUUUUCAUUGUCCAAGAGAAAGGCAAAGAGAGAAGUCAAGAAAUUUAACAUUCACAGUGUGUCCUUGCUUAGGAUCUGUCAACAUUUAUGUAUAUCAGGAAAUAAAGAACCUCAACACAAUA
Molecule: long non-coding RNA, 679 nt
Organism: Magallana angulata
Lineage: Eukaryota; Metazoa; Mollusca; Bivalvia; Ostreida; Ostreidae
Exons: 2
Source: RefSeq, a predicted model, not a curated record